GCAAGUCGAACGGUAACAUUGGAGCUUGCUCCAGAUGACGAGUGGCGCACGGGUGAGCAACGCGUACACGACCUACCUUAAAGAGGGGAUAGCCUCGGGAAACUGAGAAUAAUACCCCAUGUGGUUGAUUCAACUAAAAAGAUCAAUUAAAGGCUUCGGCUGCUUUAAGAUGGGUGUGCGUACUAUUAGAUAGUUGGUGAGGUAACGGCUCACCAAGUCAACGAUAGUUAGGGGGCGUGAGAGCGUGAUCC
RNAcentral lists this ribosomal RNA (251 nucleotides) under uncultured bacterium. RNAcentral describes it as "partial 16S ribosomal RNA". It matches the Rfam family "Bacterial small subunit ribosomal RNA", at positions 57 to 306 of the family's 1533-position model. The record is from RNAcentral.